Molecule: long non-coding RNA, 4424 nt
Filed under: Triticum aestivum (bread wheat)
Lineage: Eukaryota; Viridiplantae; Streptophyta; Magnoliopsida; Poales; Poaceae
Description: long non-coding RNA (TAES_LNC001720)
Source: RNAcentral
CCGUGCAACUUUUUCAGAUUUCUUUUAGCAUUUAGAAAUGUGUUUUUUAAAGUGGGUUCAUCCAUACACUUGUCGUGAGAGUUUAGAUUAUUUUCUUUUCUUCGGAGUGGUACAUAACCCCACGCACGUCACGGCUCACAUACAGCACAGGCUAGGCCCACUCCACCUGCCGGUUGUCUGGUGACGUCGUCAGCGACGGAGCCAUGACACUGUUUUGAGCCCAAAGAAUUGCCUCCGUUUUGCAUCACUUGGAUUACCUCCAUGCAGUCUGCUUCUAUCUGAGCUUGUUGCAGGCUUGCAGCUCACGUUGGUCGCCAAAAGCAAGCCGUCCCUGAGUCCCGAUCUUGCCGGUUCGAGCAACUUCUCGACAUGCGAGAAUUUCCUUCUCUCCCACCAGAUAUACCAAAUGGUUGUGAUAAUCAAUAUCUCGCAAUCAAUACCCGGAACUAGGGGCGCCAGGCCAUUAAGUGUACACAAUCGCGAUCAGUUUGGCACAUAUCAUUGGCCAUCUGUUGUAGACCCAAUAUUCUCCAGAUUUCAUUCACACGAGGACACAGGAAUAGAGCAUGCCCAACACUCUCGCAAUCACAAGUACAAAGAGGGCCAUUGUGAGCUUGUUAUCAUGUCUCUGUUGGAAAGAACUCCAAGGCAUUGGUAACUCUGGUAACUUUAGCACUGAUAGUAUUUUAACUAUAAAAUAUGCAGCCUGUAAGAACAUCGUAACUGUGUUGGUACCUAUAACAUGAGUAACAGUGGCGGAGCUUCAGCAAGGCUACAUGGACCAUGGCCCGCCCAGCUUUGCACCACCUCCUCCUAUUAUAGCCGGCCCAUGGGCCGGGGAAAAACCAAUUUCAUGCAAUUUAGCCUACCCAGCCCGCCCAGGAAUUUGCUGCAAGCUCCGCCACUGAUGAGUAACAUGAUAAAUAAAUGUACCGUGUGCAAUUUGGUAACGUGUACUAAAUCAACAACACUUAUUUUUGGGACGAACGGAGUAUAACAUAUGGAUCCUGGUAACUACGUAGUAAUCAUGACAUUCAACUUGCUGCUACCCACUUGCCAUCUGAAAUUGCUCUUGAAAUCAUAGUUAUGGAAUGCUGGAACAUUUGGGUUCAUAGAAAUAACAAGAUUUUCAGUAACAUCACUCCAAGCUCUGCCUCAUGGAAAGUCCUCCUCAAGCAAGAUCUCAAGAUUAUUUGUUAUAGAAUCAAAGAAAGAAAACUUCAAACAUUUCACGACUGGAUUGAUAUAUAGUUCCCUUCGAGUCCACUUGAUCUUUGAUGUUUCCAAAGCUAGGAAUUGGCUAAACCAAAUGUAUUUUUUACUUUGUUAGUUUUAUUAAUGAAAAUACUGUAGAACCAUUGUUCUAUGGUCAGGGCUUAAAAAAUGCUCAUACAACAAGUUAUCCAAGUGCAAGGAAAAUCAAGAGGUCUGUUGGGGGCAACAACACAAGACAUACCCAGAAGGAAAAAGGAAAAGCGAUAUUUCAACUCAUGGCUUUAUUUAGGUAUAAGAUACAUAAAUCCACAUUUCAACACCUGGCUUCAAACAAGACCUGUUACACAUGCACGUAAGUUUAAGGCCGGUGCGCAUAGAAACCCAUUCUCUGCAAAUACGAUUUUUUUUUUUGCGGGGAUGCAAAUACGAAUUUAACUCCAGAAUAUCCAUUGUUUGAGGAUACCGUGUCCAUGUUUUGAAAAGCCUCAUAUGAACUCAAAACAGCACACAUUUUGACACAUAAAUUGAUUCGUACUACUACAAGACAACUGCUUCUUUUUGUUUAUUAAACAUGGGCAGAAGGAUGGCUGAGACACCAAGACGAAUAAUACAAUCUCUCUCAAACGGACCCUUGUUUGUUUGUCCAUAUGUGCAGGCGCUAGCUGCUCGAUGGUGACCGAUUUUAUGCAACGGAAAGAUUCGAUGGUUCCAACUGAGCAGUGAACUGGUUGGCUUCUUCACAUGGAGUGUAAUGGAUAGAGGACAGCACGACAUUUCCACUGCACCACCAUCAACAAGCAACCAUGCCUUGAAUGGCUCCCGCCCAGGAAGAGCCGUUGGGGCUCGUCAAGCCUGCGCCACCGCCACCGCCCCCUUCCUUCUUCCUCGACCAACCCUCGAUAACCAACGGUGGCUCACAGUCACAGCAGCCGCAGGAUGACCUGGCCUUGGCAUACAUCUCGCGCAUGCUCAUGGAGGAGGACAUCACCGACAAGUUCUUCUACCAACACCCUGAGCAUCCGACGCUCCUGCAGGCCGAGCAGCCCUUCGCUGAGAUCCUCUCAGCCUCCGGCAUCGCCACAGCUGGUGCCCAUGGGUCCUCCGCUUUACUUCCAAGUCAAGGCAACAACACGGGCAUCAUGGCUUCCGCGUUCUUGUCCAGCGAGGUACAUAGUCCACCCUUGUUCUUGAACGGCACAGUCACAGCGGAGGCGCCCAGGAGCGGCGUCACCAUGGGCGACCUGUCGAGCAUGGCUUUCUUCAAAGGCAUGGAGGAGGCCAACAGCUUCUUGCCCACAGUCAAUGUGAUGGUGGAUGCUAGGGGGCGUAAGAAGAGGUCUGGCAUGGAUAGCGAGACGGAGGCGUGCAUGGGCAGGAGCAGCAAGCAAAUAGCGGUGCGGGUGCUGGCGCAUAAUGAUUCGGAGGAGGAAGAGACCGCACUUGAGCUGGACCUGCUCAUCCUCAACGGCUAUGACAUGUACUCCAAUGAGACGAUGAAGGAGAGGGGGGGCCAGGCGGCGCAUCAGAGCAUUUGCAGGAAGGCGCCGUGUGUGAGGCACAGCGCGAGGCAGAUGGUGGUGGCUGAUCUGGAAACGCUGCUGAUCCGCUGUGCGGAGGCGGUGGCUACCAAUGACCGGAGCAACGCCGGCGAUCUACUGAAGAAGAUCAAGCAGCACUCGCUACCAACAGGAGACGCAAGGCAGCGACUGGCAUAUUACUUCGCCGAGGGGCUGGAGGCACGACUGGCGGGCACAGGGAGGCAAAUAUACCACUCGAUCACCGCGGCGAAUCACACCUCCACCGUGGAGCUCUUCAAAAGCUACCACCUGUGCAUAGCCGCCUGCUGCUUCCUGAAGGUGUCGCUUAACUUCUCCAACAAAAACAUCUACAAUGCCGUGGCGGGGAGAAAGAAGCUGCACAUUGUGCACUAUGGUGUCAACGAUGGGUUCCAGUGGCCGGAUUUGCUCCGGUGGCUAGCAGACAGGGAGGGUGGGCCACCGGAGGUGAGGAUCACCGGCAUUAUUAGCCCGCAGCCUGGGCCCUGUCCGGUUAAGCAAGCCAAGGAGACAAAACGCAGGCUCAGCUACUGUGCAAGGCAGUUUGGCGUGCCAUUCAAGUUCCAUGCUAUCAUAGCCAAGUUAGAGACUGUCCACGCUGAGGACCUCGACAUCGAUCCAGACGAGGUGCUCGUCGUGAACAAUAUGUUUCAUUUCAGGACAUUGAUGGAUGAGAGCCUCACCUUUGACAUGGAAAACCCAAGGGACCUGGUGCUCAACACUAUCAGGAAGAUGAAACCAUCCAUGCUCAUCCACGCUGCUGUCAAUGGAGCAUAUAGCUCGGCGUUCUUCAUGACUCGUUUCCGCCAAGCGCUCAACAACUUCACAGCGCAGUUUGACAUGAUGGAGAGUACCAUGAUGCAGAACAAAGACAAGAUGUUACUGGUGGAGCGGCACAUUUUUGCACGCUCUGUGAUGAAUAUCAUUGCCUGUGAGGGCCCUGACCGGGUGGAGCGCCCUCAGAACUACAAGGAGUGGCAUGCGCGGAACCAGCGAGCCGGACUAAGGCAGCUGUCAUUAGACCCUGACAUUGUUAAGAUGCUCAAGGACCAAGUGAAGAAGCAGUACCACAAGCAUUUCAUGAUUGAUGAGGAUCAACGGUGGCUUCUGCUCGGAUGGAAAGGCCGGGUGCUCUACGCCCUCUCGACAUGGGUAGCUGAUGAUGCUAGUGGCUCUCAACUGGAGUAGAUGGAUGGAUUGAAGUACGAGUGAAUAUAGAUUUGCCUGUUGCACUAUCAGAUGUGUGUUUGCUCCUUUUUUGUAUGUGUAACUUGGUAACAGAGACCAUUAUAAGAUUUCAGAGAUGCAGUGAGUGCACAUAUAUCCAUUUUAAUCUGCAUUGUGAGAGACAAGAUUAUGUGGAAUCUCUGCAUAGCUUGGUCUGAUAAGGAGACUGGAUAUUUCUCUUCAAUUUUCUCAAUCAGAGAUGACAUGAUAUGUGAGAAACAGUGCGCUUGUAGGUUGUAAUGCUAACCUGGUGGAUAAUUUGGAAGGAGCGCGAUACGCACAUCUUUGACAACAAUGCCUGCGAUGCUGACCAGUUGUCUCUCGAUAUCUUUGAAGAGCUCCAGAACCAUGCAGGGACUCAGCGCACAGACGGAACCCCUUCUGCCUAAUCUGUUCAAGUCUUUAGUGCUGUAAUAGUAGCUGAAC